GCCUGUGCUAAUGGCCUGGGGUGGGUAUAAAUGAGGGGCAGCCCCCCCAAACUGGGGGUACCAGUUCUGGGUGAGGCUGGGAUGUGGUAGUGUUGUGUGAGAUGGGGACUAAAGUUUAAUGGGGGCUAAAGUUCUUUGGCCCUAACAGCAAGUUGGGAAGGGUUGGUGGUGCCCUCAAGCUGGUCCGAGGAGAAACUAGUUGUUCUGAGGACGCGGACAACAGCACUGACGGUGUGGUGCCUGCUGUGGCUGUGUAUCAGUAUGGAAAAGCCAAAGCUGCUGGUAAUUUAAGGGAUAGAUGUGUAUGGCCAUGUAGAGAGUUAUGGCUUCUUUAAAGAUGCGGAUACACACCAGCCUUUGGUCUGGCUAAUGGGGAUCUAGCUAUACAAUUGCCAACAGGUUUGCUUUUAGGAAGAAAAGCUCACAGGCAUGUACCAAAGGGGAGCAAGGCACUUUGUGCUCCUGCCUUCUGCAGUGGCGAGGAGGACACCAGAGCUCGUCCCGGGGACGGGGCUGCUCCCUGUGCAGCUAACAGCCAGGAGCAUCAGUGCCAUCGUACCUGCUGCUGCUAAAAUCGAGGAGCUUCAUCCUUUAAUGUCACCAGCAGCCGGAGGGGCUGUCUGUGUGACUGCAGCUUCUGAGGAGCUGGCAAAUGUCAGCCCAUCACAGGGAGCGGGGGUUAAGUUUUAAUCAGCGGGCCAGCAUCCUCUCCUAAUUUAUUUUCCUUCAUUUAGACAGGAUUUGCUGGAUGGCAUGCGAUCCUGUGAAUAUUUAUAAUGAGAAAUUUUUCUUGCUGCUCCUGUGAUUAACUAAUUUGGUGCUUCCCAAGGACGUGCACAGUGAAGGUCAAAGCUGAAAAGGCCCCAUCCUGUCCUGGCACUUUCCUUUGGGCAUCGUCCGAGUGGUACCAGGCAUGACUUCGGCUCAUCUGCAUGCUUGCUAAGAAGGGUUUUUCCUCAUCUAUGCAACACCUCCUUGUUCCGAGUGUGCUUCGUAUCACCACAGCCUCAUCCAAAAUAAUCUCAAGACAGCAGAAAGGCAUUUUAGUGGGCUUAGGUCAGGCCCAGAGUGAGUCAACUGCAGCAAAUGAACUCCCAUUUGCUAAUGCAGUCUUAUAAUAGUCGAGCUGCACACAGGCACUUGGCAAUUGUAGUUAAGUCAUUCAAAAAAAUAAUGAAAAAAUGCAGUUAUUUUUUAAUACUGUAUACUUCAAUUAUGGUAAGAAUAUACUAAAUCUCUGAUUAGAAAUACCUGGCUGAUGCUGGGGAAGAUAUAAUUUACAGCAGAUGACAUGUAGCCAGCUGGUUUCACAGCCUUCCUUACUGCCCAGCAAUGCAAAACCAAAAUAAACCUGGACCAGCUGCUGAAUGAAAGUCCUGCAGUUGCCUUUUGGUGGUAUGUUGAGUAGUCCUCAAUCAGAAACUCAAAGGACAGGUUCUGAUCCUGUAAAACCAAAGGGUUUGUCCCUGUACACCACCUGUAAAACCUUAUUGUGUGGGUUUCCAGGUGACUCCCACAAUUAUUUGAUGAAAUACAGGGAGUUGGUGUUCCCAGACUCUGUAGUGCACAGGCACAGCUGUGGGCACUCGGAUGUUCCUUCUGCGGCCCUAAAAAGCAGCAAAGUGUUUGUGGUGUGCAGGCACAGCUCAGGCAGGGCAACCCAAACCUCACUGACGCAUCACCCAAAAUCAGACCCUGGAGCUCCCUGCUUCCUUCUAGAAAUUUCAGCUUCUCUUGUUGCUGUUGCUGAUUUGCAGCCAUGCUGAUGAAUGGGGAUAUUCACAGCGAGGGAAUCUGCAGCCAGGCUCAAUCGCUGCUGUGAAGCUUGCUCGCAUACCGCGGUUUCUCGUGCCAGCUGUUUGACACUGCAGGGUUUGGAGAAAAGCCUGCACGUGUGAAGCACGCUCCUGGGAGCCUCCACGUCUGCAGCUGUUCUGCAAAUUGCAGCUGGGUGUGCUUCAAGCUUUGCCGGGAUUUGGGGAUAGGAGGUGCAAGUCUGGCUCUAAAACCACUUGGGCUGGAGGUUUAGAGAUGGAAGAACCAUGUUGUAGAUUAAUCUUGGACACGAUUAACACCUGGUGACUUGGCUCCUCUUUCUCAUCCUAGCUCAAUGCAAUGAAGCCACCUCCCUGCAAUGGAUGAGGUUUUAUCCUUGCUUAGGAAAACUGCUGGCUUAUUUCCUGUAGUCAUGCGUUCUGAAGAGAAAGAACACAGUCAAAAAUAUGCAUUGUUGGCCAAAACCAACUGUUUGACUGGGCUAUGUGAGAAUGACCCUGGUUCUGCUGGCCACUUCUCCACAUUUCCCCCUACUCCCUGCAUCUCCUUGGCCUCAUCUGUGAAGGGAGAAAACGAGGCAGAGGCUGGUUUGUGAAGUGGGGGAGGCGGGAGGCAGUUGCUGUUGCCCUCCUCUCCUGCACAUCCUCGCUCACCCGGGCACCACUACCUGUACCCAGGGGCUGUGGGCAAGUUUGUCCAAAACAGCACUUCUUGUGGUAUAAAUGGCAACCGGGUGAGGCUCCUCCUGAAGUUUGAGGGGGGACACAGGGGCUCCCAUGUGCUGGGCUGGACUGCUGCCACCCCAUCCCCUCCCAGCAGCUGCAACAGGCACAGCCCAAAACAUGGUAAACCACAUGGAAAUUCCCUAUUUUCAUCAGUCCUCAAGCCGGAGGUGACAGAGCCAAGAGAGGCUUCAUCAGCUGGAUUUUAGAAAUGGUAAUGAGCCUGCCUUGCUUAUGCAUGCUCAGAAAUGCCUUGUGUUCCUCCUGAAGAGGGCUGUUCAGCUGGCAGAGAGUCCUCCCUGCAGAGAGCAUCGCCCGACAGCGACAAGCUCUGCUACACCAGGCAAAGGAUCUGACCCCAGCUCCCGCAGCCCUGUGGCAUUUAUUUUUGGAGUCUAUCACACCAGUGUGGCAGGAGUUCCCCUCCGGAGCAGCCUCUACGUGCACGGGUGCUGAGCUGGUCACAAGUGGUGUCCAGCCGUGAGCAUCCAGCAGGGAUGAGGGAACCACGCCGAGCAGCCCUGCCUGGGUGCUGUCCUUCAAGGGCUUUUGGUCCUCGUUACGAAGCUGUUCCCAAAGAUGAGCGUAAAGAACCGCAAGCGCCUUCCCCCCUGUCUGUUUGCAUUUGUGGGAUCUGACCUACUUUUUGUUAUUUGUACAUAAGGCACAACAGCAUCCCUUGUUUUUUUUUUUUUUUUUUUGGCUUGCCGAGCCGCUGCAGGAGCGCUCGGUGCCUGAAAGCCUCUGCCAGCUCCAGCAGCGAGCACUGGAGCCUUGCGCUGCAAUAUUCACCGUAGAAAAUCUGCACCCAAGGCAAGGAAGGUGGUUUUGGGGGAAGCUGAUGCCACUGCACACGUGGCGACCUCCCAGUCCUCUACAAGCACCCCAUGGCCACGUAUGGCUGCUUGCCAGUCCCUAGGGAUGCAUCAGCCUCUGAGGGGCGUGCAGUAAUGAAGCCAUUUCUACACUAUGGACUGCAAGGGACACAGCUGGGAGGA
Cygnus olor (mute swan) is the source of this 3496-nucleotide long non-coding RNA. RefSeq lists it as uncharacterized. The transcript has 4 exons. Lineage: Eukaryota; Metazoa; Chordata; Aves; Anseriformes; Anatidae. The record is from RefSeq and is a predicted model, not a curated record.